AGUCACAAACAAACAAACAGAACUUCACAAGCUAAAGUAGACAAAAAUGCGCUUAUGCAAUAAGUUCUAAAAGGCUCAGCACGCAGUCUCAUCAUCGCGUCUUCAUAUCGUUUAUGCUCAUGGAUCCACGUCUUCAUCACGAACUGAGAACGAAAACAAGACGAAGAACAACGGCUCCAAAAUCACAUCAAACUCUGAAAUCAACAUCAUACAACUCAAUUAAACAUUUGUGCAAGCUUAAAAAUGGAAAUAACAUAAUGAAAAUCGAAGCGAGAACUCACCAAAUUGGAGCUUUGAUGCAAAUAGGGUAUGUUAAUUGGAGUUGCUUGUGAAACUUGUGAACUCAUAUACGCUUGGAAUGGUUUGUUGCUUGUGGAACUCAUGCUUGCGCAUGGAAUUGGCGUGAAGAAUGGAGUUUGGAAGGGACUUGGAUGCUAUAGAAUGCUAUUGAAUGUUAUCAAAUGGAAUGCCAUGGAGUCAUAUGCUUGGAAUGGAUUUCGAUGGAAUUUGAAUUGUGUAGAAAUUAUAGAUUUUUGUAAUUUGUGAAAUUGGACAUUGUGUUAAAACUUGAAUGUUGGUUUGAAAUGUAGUCUUUGUAGUUUUGGAUUUGGUGUGAAUUAUAACUUGAAUGGAGAUGUUGUAAAUUGAAAAAUAUGAAUGGAAAUCAUGACUGAUUGAAUGACAUAA
Molecule: long non-coding RNA, 687 nt
Organism: Lathyrus oleraceus (garden pea)
Lineage: Eukaryota; Viridiplantae; Streptophyta; Magnoliopsida; Fabales; Fabaceae
Exons: 2
Source: RefSeq, a predicted model, not a curated record